Astyanax mexicanus (Mexican tetra) is the source of this 630-nucleotide long non-coding RNA. RefSeq lists it as uncharacterized. The record is from RefSeq and is a predicted model, not a curated record. Lineage: Eukaryota; Metazoa; Chordata; Actinopteri; Characiformes; Acestrorhamphidae. The transcript has 3 exons.
AGUACGCGUUAACCCUGGCUGUAUUAAUUUGUCAAAACUUCUAAGCAUUAGUUCUCAGCCUGCAAUAUUAAUACUAUUAGGGAAACAACUGGAUUAAGUCUUUCUAACCAAUAAAACAAUCACUAAAAAAAUGCUAACCGCUGUUAAACCUGUGAGCCUGCAGAGGAGAAAAUCUUCACCUACUGUCAGCAGCCAAACUUACCUGGUAACGUUAUAAUGUUCCACUAAUCUACAGGUGGAGGAAGAACUUUGCGUCUAGUUCACCGUAAACGGCGUGUAUAAACGCCAGAACGGACUCGGUCCAUUUGUGGUUUGAAAUGACCGAUACCAAUGAUUGAUCACAUUGCUCAGCUGCACACGGCCGGUGCACUGCAGAGCCAAGCCCAUAACGGACAACCCAGGUGAACUAGAUGGUAUACAGUCUACGGCACUAACAAGCUUUGAUCCACCCUCCAGCAGAACUGAACUGAAUCACCACCUGAACCUCACACGCCCAAUCCUGCUCCUCAGGAUCUUCCACAGAAUCUGAUUAUGGAGGCGUUACAUUGGAUUUAUGUCUACAGAACCGGGUCGAGAGCUUUCUGUGGAAUACAGGAUGUAAAAUAAGGUGAUGCAUUGCUGUACUGUUCA